This 73-nucleotide transfer RNA is filed under the name Promethearchaeota archaeon. Its description in RNAcentral is "Candidatus Lokiarchaeota archaeon (microbial mat metagenome) tRNA-Val". It matches the Rfam family "tRNA". Rfam says of the family: Transfer RNA (tRNA) molecules are approximately 80 nucleotides in length. Lineage: Archaea; Promethearchaeati; Promethearchaeota. The record is from RNAcentral.
GGGCGUUUAGCUCAGUUGGUAGAGCAACUGGUUUACACCCAGUAGGUCACAAGUUCGAGUCUUGUAGCGCCCA